CGGCGGACGGGUGAGUAACACGUGGAUAACCUACCUAUAAGACUGGGAUAACUUCGGGAAACCGGAGCUAAUACCGGAUAAUAUAUUGAACCGCAUGGUUCAAUAGUGAAAGACGGUUUUGCUGUCACUUAUAGAUGGAUCCGCGCCGCAUUAGCUAGUUGGUAAGGUAACGGCUUACCAAGGCAACGAUGCGUAGCCGACCUGAGAGGGUGACCGGCCACACUGGAACUGAGACACGGUCCAG
This 244-nucleotide ribosomal RNA is filed under the name uncultured Staphylococcus sp. Its description in RNAcentral is "partial 16S ribosomal RNA". It matches the Rfam family "Bacterial small subunit ribosomal RNA", at positions 96 to 334 of the family's 1533-position model. The record is from RNAcentral. Lineage: Bacteria; Bacillati; Bacillota; Bacilli; Caryophanales; Staphylococcaceae.